Molecule: non-coding RNA, 122 nt
Organism: Hordeum vulgare subsp. vulgare (domesticated barley)
Lineage: Eukaryota; Viridiplantae; Streptophyta; Magnoliopsida; Poales; Poaceae
Source: Rfam
AUCGUACUCCCUUCGUUCGGAAAUACUUGUCCUAAAAAUGAAUAUAAUGAAUGUAUCUAUAACUAAAAUAAGUCUAGAUUCAUUCAUUUCUAGGACAAGUAUUUCCGGACGGAGGGUAAUCA